AUUGAACGCUGGCGGCAGGCCUAACACAUGCAAGUCGAGCGCGAAAGUACUUCGGUAUGAGUAGAGCGGCGGACGGGUGAGUAACGCGUAGGAAUCUACCUAGUAGUGGGGGACAACUCGGGGAAACUCGAGCUAAUACCGCAUACGCCCUACGGGGAAAACGGGGAUCUUCGGACCUCGUGCUAUUAGAUGAGCCUGCGUAAGAUUAGCUAGUUGGUGGGGUAAUGGCCUACCAAGGCGACGAUCUUUAGCUGGUCUGAGAGGAUGAUCAGCCACACCGGGACUGAGACACGGCCCGGACUCCUACGGGAGGCAGCAGUGGGGAAUAUUGCGCAAUGGGCGAAAGCCUGACGCAGCCAUGCCGCGUGUGUGAAGAAGGCCUUCGGGUUGUAAGCACUUUCAAUUGGGAGGAAGGUUUCCGAUUAAUACUCGUGAGCUGUGACGUUACCUUUAG
Molecule: ribosomal RNA, 454 nt
Filed under: uncultured bacterium
Lineage: Bacteria
Description: bacterial SSU rRNA
Rfam family: Bacterial small subunit ribosomal RNA
Source: RNAcentral